GAGUUUGAUCCUGGCUCAGAACGAACGCUGGCGGCGUGCCUAACACAUGCAAGUCGAACGUGAUCCAGAGCUUGCUCUGGUGAAAGUGGCGCACGGGUGAGUAACGCGUGGAUAACCUACCCUGGUAUCCGGGAUAACAUUCCGAAAGGGGUGCUAAUACCGGAUAAGCCCACGGGCUCUUUGGAGCUUGCGGGAAAAGGUGGCCUCUAUUUAUAAGCUACUGUAUCAGGAUGGGUCCGCGUACCAUUAGCUAGUUGGCGGUGUAACGGACCACCAAGGCGACGAUGGUUAGCUGGUCCGAGAGGAUGAUCAGCCACACUGGAACUGAGACMCGGUCCAGACUCCUACGGGAGGCAGCAGUGGGGAAUUUUGCGCAAUGGGGGAAACCCUGACGCAGCAACGCCGCGUGAGUGAUGAAGGCCUUUGGGUCGUAAAGCUCUGUCAGAGGGGAAGAAAUGAUAUAGUGCUAAUACCACUUUAUCUUGACGGUACCCUCAAAGGAAGCACCGGCUAACUCCGUGCCAGCAGCCGCGGUAAUAC
This 540-nucleotide ribosomal RNA is filed under the name uncultured Geobacteraceae bacterium. RNAcentral's name for it is "bacterial SSU rRNA". It matches the Rfam family "Bacterial small subunit ribosomal RNA", at positions 9 to 526 of the family's 1533-position model. The record is from RNAcentral. Lineage: Bacteria; Pseudomonadati; Thermodesulfobacteriota; Desulfuromonadia; Geobacterales; Geobacteraceae.